UACUCCCGCCGGCGACCGGCGCACGGGUGAGUAACACGUAUGAAACCUGCCCGUAGCAGGGGGAUAAGCGGAAGAAAUUCCGUCUAAUACCGCGUAACAACCCGAGGAGGCAUCUCCUCGGGUUUAAAGGAAGCGAUUCCGGCUACGGAUGGUCAUGCGUCGCAUUAGCUAGUUGGCGGGGUAACGGCCCACCAAGGCGACGAUGCGUAGGGGGUUCUGAGAGGAAGGUCCCCCACACUGGUACUGAGACACGGACCAGACUCCUACGGAAGGCAGCAG
This 279-nucleotide ribosomal RNA is filed under the name uncultured bacterium. Its description in RNAcentral is "partial 16S ribosomal RNA". It matches the Rfam family "Bacterial small subunit ribosomal RNA", at positions 80 to 354 of the family's 1533-position model. The record is from RNAcentral.